Molecule: ribosomal RNA, 319 nt
Filed under: uncultured Diversispora
Lineage: Eukaryota; Fungi; Glomeromycota; Glomeromycetes; Diversisporales; Diversisporaceae
Description: SSU rRNA
Rfam family: Eukaryotic small subunit ribosomal RNA
Source: RNAcentral
AGCAGCCGCGGUAAUUCCAGCUCCAAUAGCGUAUAUUAAAGUUGUUGCAGUUAAAAAGCUCGUAGUUGAACUUCGGGGUUUACCCAUUGGUCAGGCUUAAUUGUCUGCACUGGUGAGAUGAAUCUCUACCUUCUGAGGAACUUUCAUGCCAUUUAUUUGGUGUGAUGGGAAAUCAGGACUGUUACUUUGAAAAAAUUGAGUGUUUAAAGCAGGCUAACGUCUGAAUACAUUAGCAUGGAAUAAUGAAGUAGGACGGACUGAUUCUAUUUCGUUGGUUUCUAGGAUCACCGUAAUGAUUAAUAGGGAUAGUUGGGGGCAU